This 253-nucleotide ribosomal RNA is filed under the name uncultured bacterium. Its description in RNAcentral is "partial 16S ribosomal RNA". It matches the Rfam family "Bacterial small subunit ribosomal RNA", at positions 524 to 776 of the family's 1533-position model. The record is from RNAcentral.
UACGAAGGGGGCUAGCGUUGCUCGGAAUCACUGGGCGUAAAGGGUGCGUAGGCGGGUCUUUAAGUCAGGGGUGGAAUCCUGGAGCUCAACUCCAGAACUGCCUUUGAUACUGAAGAUCUUGAGUUCGGGAGAGGUGAGUGGAACUGCGAGUGUAGAGGUGAAAUUCGUAGAUAUCCGGAGGAACACCAGUGGCGAAAGCGGCCACCUGGACUGCACCUGACGCUGACACGCGAAAGCUAGGGGAGCGAACGGG